Molecule: ribosomal RNA, 274 nt
Filed under: uncultured bacterium
Lineage: Bacteria
Description: partial 16S ribosomal RNA
Rfam family: Bacterial small subunit ribosomal RNA
Source: RNAcentral
AUACGGAGGGUCCAAGCGUUAUCCGGAUUCAUUGGGUUUAAAGGGUUCGUAGGCGGAUAAAUAAGUCAGUGGUGAAAUCCCGAAGCUCAACUUCGGAACUGCCAUUGAAACUGUUUAUCUUGAAUUUAGUUGAAGUGGGCGGAAUAUGACAUGUAGCGGUGAAAUGCAUAGAUAUGUCAUGGAACACCAAUAGUGAAGACAGCUCACUAAGCUAAUAUUGACGCUGAUGAACGAAAGCAUGGGUAGCGAACAGGAUUAGAAACCCCAGUAGUCC